RNAcentral lists this ribosomal RNA (484 nucleotides) under uncultured bacterium. RNAcentral's name for it is "partial 16S ribosomal RNA". It matches the Rfam family "Bacterial small subunit ribosomal RNA", at positions 30 to 507 of the family's 1533-position model. The record is from RNAcentral.
AUUGAACGCUGGCGGCAGGCCUAAUACAUGCAAGUCGAGCGAAUGAAGGGGGCUUGCUCCUGGCUUCAGCUACGGACGGAUGAGUGAUUACUAGGAGGCUACCUGAUCGUGGGGACUGACGUACGGUAACGGGAGCUGAUCCCGCAUCGGUUAUGAUGUAGAACGUGAGGGAUCUUCGGACAUCACGCUAUCAGAUGAGCCUAGGUCGUAUUAGCUAGUUGGUGGGGUAAAGGCUUACCAAGGCGACGAUCCGUAACUGGUCUGAGAGGAUGAUCAGUCACACUGGAACUGAGACACGGUCCAGACUCCUACGGGAGGCAGCAGUGGGGAAUAUUCGACAAUGGGCGAAGGCUUGAUGCAGCAAUGCCGCGUGAGUGAAGAAGGUCUUCGGAUUGUAAAGCACUGUAAGUAGGGAGGAAGAAAAGUAAGUGAAUCUCUUCCUGUCUUGACGUUACCAACAGAAUAAGCCCCGGCUAACUUCGUG